CUCCAAGGCUGGGGCGGUGGAGAAUCCAUAAGGUUGGGGUUCAACUUUUUCUAAAGGAUGCUCGUUUGUUUAUCUCUCCCUCCCACACCGCAUUAGCCCACCGCCGGUGACCCUUACAGUUGCUCUCCCACCGCCGCACCGGCCAACUCCACUUCAUCUUCAUGACUUUACCAUUUUCUUUCUAUCUCCCACCAUCGGCCACCACUUCUACGGUUCUACAGCCGUUUCCCAAAUCUAGCAUCUCCAGAUCUCCUAUGCCAUUUGCUGCCUGUCUGCAAUGCAUAUUGUAGCCGGCUCGCUCGGGUCCAGGGGCGGGCAACUCUCCACCAAUCUCCACUCACUGUCGUCUCCUUGAAGAAGGUGUAUCCAUAAUUCCAUUGGAUUUUAGAUUUAGUUGUUUUCUUCCAAUUUAAGUUUCUUUUCCUAGGCAUGUUGCUUUUCUGAUUUAGGGAUUUUUUAUUUGGACGGUUGGGUUUGGAAUGAAAACAACUCUGAUUUAGGGAAAAUUGAUUUUUUUAUUUUGAACUUUAUUUUAGCUUUGGGCAACAGAACAAGAAGGGAGGAGUAAUGAUGAUACCUUGAACAUGGAAGCCCAAUUCGAGGAAUUUCUUGGGGGCAAUAGUUUAGCCUGUAUCAUUAAUCGUCUCUAGUGCAAUAUAUCUGAUGCUAAAAAAUGAUGCAGGUAUGACCUUCAAAUAUAGCCUAGGAAUUGGCAGUCUAUUUUCGCUAAUUUGCGAGUCUUCAUCCCAUACACUUGCUUGUUUCCCAAUCUUGUGAAGAACCCUGAUGACCUCUUCAGUUGUGACAUUACCAGUUACAGUCACCUUGUUUAAUUUUGUAUCAAUAUCAUAUAUUUCAAUAUAUGCAUCCAGCAUCAACAGGCAUUUUCAACUUUUUGGGAUGUUAUAUAAAAAUAAGCAGUUUGUUUAAACCACUUUAUCUUAAAUUUCAAUAAGUGGGAGUGAAGAUUUGAACCAAUAUCUUUACUAGCUGAUACCAUAUUGUAUUUUACCAAAGUUAAUCCAAUGUUUAGCUUUUUAUUAUAUAUACAUUUUGCUAUGUCGUAAACAAACCUGACUGGUAGAAUAUGCACAGAUAUGGUCCCAAUCCUUGUUCCAAAAUUUUUACUAAUUUCACCUUCUUCCAUAUUUAAUUGAGAUUCAAAGCAGGGCAGCUAGAGAUGUAAAGUUAGACAUCUAUUCCAUUUGAUGAUCUUUAACUUUUUUCAUUCUUUACAUAACCAAAGUAUUCUAUUCUACUGGCAUUUUUUUAUACUUUUUUCACAUCAUUCACUCUGCGUGGAAAUGUUUGAGUACGUUGAUAUUAAGCUGCAUGGGAUUUUAGAACUUCACCUCUAUCUGAUUGUUGAAAAAAUUACUUUCAGGGAUUGACAUGGCUUCUCCCAGAACGAUUUUCUGAAUCAGAAAUUGGACCAGAAGCAGCUUUUGUAAUAUUUUGGUAACGCUAGCUUCUUCUUACUUAGAAUCAUGCAAUGAACUCACGUUCUUUGGCUUAACGAAAAAUGGAUUUUAUGACACAAUUUUUUUUUGUAUUGUUAUUUUUUUCACUUAUGAAAAAAUCCUAUAAUUUAAAUUAAGUAGAUUGUUUUCAUUAGGAACACAAUAUUUAUACAAAUGCAGAACUUUUAUGGUACAUGUAAUUCUGUGAAGAUUACAUAAUUUGGUGCUACAUCAUUGUUGGCUUCUGUUUCCAUAAUUUCAUGUGUUUCAGUGUGUAUGUUAAAGGAUUUCUAUAUCUCAAGUGUCUGUAUGUAAAUUAUGUUUAUUUCUACUCUCCCCCAACCCACCUACCCUUCUCCCUUAAAAUUCCUUUUUAUGCUAUAUAAGUUCUGCCAUAUUUUCUGGAAACCCAACAUUCUUCAUACAGUGCACUUAGUUCUACUCCAAUUAUUAAUUAUAUUGUGUGUCCAAAUCAAUCUUUUCUAUUAUUGUAUAUCUAAAUAUAUCUGCGGUGACAUCAAUUUUGGGUAUAAUCAUUGCUUCCAUCUAACAUUUGUUAAGAACCUUUUUCUCCUCCCCUACUCCGAACUUCUUCCAGGCACCGGAGUGACUCUUAGUCCUGAUAUCUUGUAUUUUCACCCUUUCUGUUGUUUUGGGGUGCGAUAAAAAAGCUUUUAAGAUUUGUUCAUUUUCUUAAGCUGUCUCUGCAUUUCUUUCAUUUGUUUCUUGCAAAAGUUGAUGUAUUCUAUCCUAUACAGUGUAAAUAUUUCUACAGUAACAUCAAUUUUGGUUAUAACCACUUUUGUAAAUCUUUCUGUAGUAACAUCAAUUUUGGGUAUCUUCAAGAUCUUCUUGAUGCAUUCAUCACAGUGUAAGCCUACCAACUCCACUACCUAAUGACACACAAAAUGGAGCAUCAAAUUUGAUUAGUUACUUUCUUAUAUCAACAACUUCCUUUUUUUGCCUCUUUGAUUUGAUUAGUUAAUUUUUGGCAUCAAAUUACUGAUACUGACAUAUAAUUCAAAUGAUACCAGCCAACUUUUGACAAAUAAAAACUCAGAUAUUUAAUUUUUCUCAUGAAUUCCUUAAAUAGCCGAGCUGAUCUUAUUAUGAUAGUGGCACUUUUUGUCGUAGACGGCUUGUGCAGCAUUGGAUGUCAAUUAAUGGUUAGGCAGACAUUUUUUAUGCAAAAUACAUAUUCACCCAAGAACUUGUGUAUGCUUAAGAGUAGUGUCAUGCAUGACAUAAUGUAGCAUUUGAAUUUGGUGAAUGCAAGUUAUAGUGGUGACUGCUGUUUAUCUCAUCUCAAUCCAAAAAUAUGCCAAGUUAUAUUAUGUCAUUUUAGCAGGUUCUUUUACAUGUUGCUAUCACGAAUCCUUCUGUGCUCACCUAAGUUUCGUACUUUCAGUUUGACUUCGAUUCAUUUAAUUUGAUGAUGCUUUGCAAUAGGACCAACUUCAAGGACAGGCAAAGCUCUCAUAAGCAACAAGUUCUGAUGAAACCGAACUCCUAUGCUUAUGCCAACUCGGGCUAGAAAAAAAAUAAAAAAACAAUGCGCACGCUAGCAGGAAGCCACAACCAAAUAUAUUAGUUAUUUCAUUUUUUGAAUUAGUGUAAUUCCAAGUGCUGUAAUUUAGGUUUAUCUUUUAGUUUUUAUAAUUAUAGGCUAACUUGUUUUCUUUGAUACAAGUAAUUUCGUUUUUCAAGUGUGUAAGAAGGAUUUGUGAUGACAAAUUUAUUACUCAUUUUUAUUGCAUAAAUAAAUUUAACAAUUAAUGUGAAAUGA
RNAcentral lists this long non-coding RNA (3246 nucleotides) under Olea europaea subsp. europaea. The record is from RNAcentral. Lineage: Eukaryota; Viridiplantae; Streptophyta; Magnoliopsida; Lamiales; Oleaceae.